Molecule: ribosomal RNA, 1340 nt
Filed under: uncultured bacterium
Lineage: Bacteria
Description: 16S ribosomal RNA
Rfam family: Bacterial small subunit ribosomal RNA
Source: RNAcentral
GACGAACGCUGGCGGCGUGCUUAACACAUGCAAGUCGAACGGAAAGGCCCUGCUUUUGUGGGGUGCUCGAGUGGCGAACGGGUGAGUAACACGUGAGUAACCUGCCCUUGACUUUGGGAUAACUUCAGGAAACUGGGGCUAAUACCGGAUAGGAGCUCCUGCUGCAUGGUGGGGGUUGGAAAGUUUCGGCGGUUGGGGAUGGACUCGCGGCUUAUCAGCUUGUUGGUGGGAUAGUGGCUUACCAAGGCUUUGACGGGUAGCCGGCCUGAGAGGGUGACCGGCCACAUUGGGACUGAGAUACGGCCCAGACUCCUACGGGAGGCAGCAGUGGGGAAUAUUGCACAAUGGGCGGAAGCCCGAUGCAGCAACGCCGCGUGCGGGAUGACGGCCUUCGGGUUGUAAACCGCUUUCGCCUGUGACGAAGCGUGAGUGACGGUAAUGGGUAAAGAAGCACCGGCUAACUACGUGCCAGCAGCCGCGGUGAUACGUAGGGUGCGAGCGUUGUCCGGAUUUAUUGGGCGUAAAGGGCUCGUAGGUGGUUGAUCGCGUCGGAAGUGUAAUCUUGGGGCUUAACCCUGAGCGUGCUUUCGAUACGGGUUGACUUGAGGAAGGUAGGGGAGAAUGGAAUUCCUGGUGGAGCGGUGGAAUGCGCAGAUACCAGGAGGAACACCAGUGGCGAAGGCGGUUCUCUGGGCCUUUCCUGACGCUGAGGAGCGAAAGCGUGGGGAGCGAACAGGCUUAGAUACCCUGGUAGUCCACGCUGUAAACGGUGGGUACUAGGUGUGGGGUCCAUUCCACGGGUUCCGUGCCGUAGCUAACGCUUUAAGUACCCCGCCUGGGGAGUACGGCCGCAAGGCUAAAACUCAAAGGAAUUGACGGGGCCCCGCACAAGCGGCGGAGCAUGCGGAUUAAUUCGAUGCAACGCGUAGAACCUUACCUGGGUUUGACAUGGAUCGGGAGUGCUCAGAGAUGGGUGUGCCUCUUUUGGGGUCGGUUCACAGGUGGUGCAUGGCUGUCGUCAGCUCGUGUCGUGAGAUGUUGGGUUAAGUCCCGCAACGAGCGCAACCCUUGUUCACUGUUGCCAGCACGUUAUGGUGGGGACUCAGUGGAGACCGCCGGGGUCAACUCGGAGGAAGGUGGGGAUGACGUCAAGUCAUCAUGCCCCUUAUGUCCAGGGCUUCACGCAUGCUACAAUGGCUGGUACAGAGAGUGGCGAGCCUGUGAGGGUGAGCGAAUCUCGGAAAGCCGGUCUCAGUUCGGAUUGGGGUCUGCAACUCGACCUCAUGAAGUCGGAGUCGCUAGUAAUCGCAGAUCAGCAACGCUGCGGUGAAUACGUUCCC